GAUGAACGCUGGCGGCGUGCUUAACACAUGCAAGUCGAACGGAAAGGCCAGUGCUUGCACUGGUACUCGAGUGGCGAACGGGUGAGUAACACGUGGGUGAUCUGCCCUGCACUUCGGGAUAAGCCUGGGAAACUGGGUCUAAUACCGGAUAGGACAAUGGUUUGGAUGCCGUUGUGGAAAGUUUUUUCGGUGUGGGAUGAGCUCGCGGCCUAUCAGCUUGUUGGUGGGGUAAUGGCCUACCAAGGCGUCGACGGGUAGCCGGCCUGAGAGGGUGUACGGCCACAUUGGGACUGAGAUACGGCCCAGACUCCUACGGGAGGCAGCAGUGGGGAAUAUUGCACAAUGGGCGCAAGCCUGAUGCAGCGACGCCGCGUGGGGGAUGACGGCCUUCGGGUUGUAAACUCCUUUCGCUAGGGACGAAGCGUAUUUGUGACGGUGCCUGGAGAAGAAGCACAGGCUAACUACGUG
RNAcentral lists this ribosomal RNA (468 nucleotides) under uncultured bacterium. RNAcentral's name for it is "partial 16S ribosomal RNA". It matches the Rfam family "Bacterial small subunit ribosomal RNA", at positions 28 to 507 of the family's 1533-position model. The record is from RNAcentral.